UGCAUUCACUACUGUAAGUCACUCUGGAUAAGAGCGUCUUCUAAAUGACUAAAA
Molecule: non-coding RNA, 54 nt
Organism: Salmo salar (Atlantic salmon)
Lineage: Eukaryota; Metazoa; Chordata; Actinopteri; Salmoniformes; Salmonidae
Source: Rfam